Molecule: RNA transcript, 6371 nt
Organism: Lycium ferocissimum
Lineage: Eukaryota; Viridiplantae; Streptophyta; Magnoliopsida; Solanales; Solanaceae
Gene name: callose synthase 11-like
Exons: 4
Source: RefSeq, a predicted model, not a curated record
UUCGUGUAAGUUUCUCAUAGAAAGCUGCAACUUUCAACUUACAUAAUACAGACAACUUCCCCAGCCGCUGUUGUUGGCGCGUGGUUUACAUCACUACAUUCCUUGCUGUAACCCCCAAGAAAUCCCCUCAUCUUUCCCUCUCAUUAAAAUUCUCACCUUUUACUCCAUUAAAGUUACACAGUUUUUGCUGAGAAAUAAAAUACAACACAGUUGAUUCCCAUUAACCCCCGCACCCCCACGCCCACCCCACCCCAUCCAAAAGUCGAAUAUACCCGUUACUUUAUUUUAUUGUAGUAUAGUAUAGUAUAUGCACACAGCACAUACAUGUGUCUGCUUAUUUGCUAUACUUGCUGCAAGUAACAACUUUGCUGUUUGAAAUUUUUGAACAGAAAAAAAAUAUUUGGAGAGUUACCCAUUAGUGUAAAGCUGCUGCAGAACUAAAUGCAAUGAAUCUCCGGCAACGGCCACCAUUCACGCGCGGUCGUGGUGAUCACGCGCCGCCAAGAAUCGAGCCGUACAACAUAAUCCCCAUCCAUAUCUUACUUGCUGACCACCCUUCACUUCGUUACCCUGAAGUACGCGCCGCUUCAGCUGCUCUACGCGCCGUCGGGGAUCUCCCGUUGCCACCAUUCAUGCCAUGGGGUGACAACAAGGACUUAAUGGACUGGCUUGGACAAUUUUUUGGGUUUCAAGAUGAUAAUGUAAAGAAUCAAAGGGAAAACCUAGUUCUUCAUUUGGCUAAUGCUCAAAUGCGCAUUCAUCCACCACUUGCCACACCUGACCGUCUUGAUUAUGGUGUUUUAAGGCAGUUCAGGCAGAAGUUGUUGAAGAAUUACUCAUCUUGGUGUUCAUAUCUUGGUAAAAAGUCACAAGUUAAGUUACCAAGAAGGCAAAGUCCAGAACGUUCAAGACGUGAGCUUUUGUAUGUAUGUCUUUAUUUGUUGAUUUGGGGUGAGGCUGCUAAUCUACGUUUUGCUCCUGAGUGUUUAUGUUAUAUAUAUCAUCAUAUGGCUAUGGAAAUGAAUUAUAUUGUUGAUGGUCAUAUUGAUGAGAAUACUGGACAAGCUUAUGUUCCUUUUACUUUUAAGCAGUUUGGUUUCUUGGAUAAAGUUGUAACUCCUAUUUAUAAUACAAUUAGUGGUGAAGUCGAGAGGAGUAGAAAUGGGACUGCCCCUCAUUCAGCUUGGAGGAAUUAUGAUGAUAUAAAUGAGUAUUUUUGGACUAGGAAGUGUUUUAGGAGGUUGAAAUGGCCUCUUGACUUGUCGAGUGCUUUUCUGGAUACUACUGUAGGUAGGAGAGUUGGUAAGACAGGGUUUGUUGAGCAGAGGACUUUCUGGAAUAUAUUUAGGAGCUUUGAUAGGUUGUGGGUGUUGUUGAUAUUGUUCUUUCAGGCUGCUGUUAUUGUUGCUUGGCAAGGCACAGAUUAUCCGUGGCAGGCUUUGGAAAAGAGGGAUGUGCAAGUGCAGUUGCUUACUAUCUUCAUAACUUGGGCUGGUUUGAGGUUUAUACAGUCAAUCCUUGAUGCUGGAACUCAGUAUAGUUUAGUUUCCAGGGAUACUAUGUGGAUAGGUGUGAGAAUGGUAUUGAAAAGCAUAGUUGCUGUGACAUGGGCAGUUGUGUUUGGGGUGUUCUAUGCCAGGAUUUGGAGCCAGAGGAAUUCUGAUAGGAGGUGGUCAUAUGAGGCGAACCAAAGGAUCUUCACAUUUCUUGAGGCUGCUUUGGUGUUUGUCGCCCCAGAGUUGUUAGCUCUUGUCCUUUUCAUUCUCCCAUGGCUACGAAAUGUGAUUGAAAAAACAAACUGGCCAAUUUUUUACUUACUAACAUGGUGGUUCCACACUAGGAUAUUUGUGGGUCGUGGGCUCAGAGAAGGGCUUAUUAAUAACAUAAAGUACACAUUGUUCUGGAUUGCAGUAUUGGCUUCCAAAUUUGUCUUCAGUUAUGCCUUUCAAAUAAGGCCACUGCUUGGUCCUACGCGAGCUCUUUUGAAUAUAAAAAAUGCGAAGUACAAGUGGCAUGAAUUUUUCGGUAGCACCAAUGAGCUAGCAACUGUUUUGUUGUGGAUUCCAGUUGUUCUAAUUUAUCUAGUUGACCUGCAGAUUUGGUACACUAUAUAUUCCGCUAUUGUAGGAGGAACAGUUGGGUUGUUCUCACAUAUAGGUGAAAUUAGGAACAUUAAACAGCUCAGACUCAGAUUCCAGUUCUUUGCAAGUGCAAUGCAGUUCAAUCUGAUGCCCGAGAUUCAGACUAUAGAUGCUACGGCCACCCUGGUUCACAAGCUUCGGAAUGCAAUACAUCGGAUUAAGUUAAGAUAUGGACUUGGAAGCCCAUACAAGAAGAUUGAAUCGAGCCAGGUGGAUGCAACUAGGUUUGCCUUAAUAUGGAAUGAGAUCAUCAUAACUCUGAGGGAGGAAGACUUCGUGAGCGAUCAUGAGCUGGAGCUUAUGGAGUUGCCACCAAACUGUUGGGAUAUUAAGGUUAUUCGUUGGCCGUGUUUUCUCUUGUGCAACGAGUUGCUUCUUGCUCUCAGCCAUGCAAGCGAGCUGGCAGAUGCACCUGACAGAUGGGUUUGGUUUAGGAUAUGCAAGAAUGAGUAUAGGAGGUGUGCAGUGAUUGAGGCUUAUGACAGCAUCAAAUACUUGCUACUAGAGAUCAUAAAAUAUGACACUGAAGAGCAUUCAAUAGUCACUGCACUUUUCCAUGAUAUUGAUGAUUGCAUUCGCUUUGAAAAGUUUACUAAAGCCUACAAGAUGACCCUCUUGCCACGCAUUCAUGAAAAGUUGGUGUCUCUUAUUGAGCUUUUGCUCAGGCCAGAGCCGGAUUUGUGUGAUAUUGUCAAUGUAUUACAGGCCUUGUAUGAGGUUUCCGUUAGGGAAUUUCCAAGGGUGAAGAAGAGAACAGAACAACUGAUGCAGGAAGGUCUUGCUCCUAGAAAUCCAGAUACGGGGCUUCUUUUUGAAAACGUGAUUGAGUUUCCUGAUAUUCAAGAUGCUUUCUUCUACAGGCAGCUGCGCCGUUUGCGGACAAUUCUUACUUCCAGAGAUUCAAUGCACUAUGUUCCAAGAAAUAAGGAAGCAAGAAGGCGUAUUGCUUUCUUCAGUAACUCUCUUUUUAUGAAUAUGCCACGAGCUCCCCAGGUAGAGAAGAUGAUGGCCUUCAGCGUCUUGACCCCUUACUACGAUGAGGAAGUUCUGUUUGGCAAAGAAAAUCUUAGGAGUCCCAAUGAAGAUGGAGUAUCCACCAUAUUUUAUCUGCAGAGGAUUUAUGAUGAUGAGUGGGAGAAUUUCAUGGAACGGAUGCGUAAAGAAGGAAUGCAGGAUGAGGAGGAGAUAUGGAACACUAAAGCAAGGGAGAUCCGUCAAUGGGCAUCGUACAGGGGCCAGACUCUGUCCCGUACUGUAAGAGGCAUGAUGUAUUAUUACAAGGCUCUCAAGAUGCUUUCCUUCCUUGAUUCUGCUUCAGAGGUCGAUAUAAGGCAUGGCUCACAAGAAAUUGCUUCACUAGGUUCAUUGAACCAAAAUAAUCACCUGAACGGGUUAAGCUCUGGCAUGUUACAAACUUCUCGAAAUCUUCACAGAUCAAGUAGCAGUGUCACCCUUCUUUUUAAAGGACACGAGCUUGGUGCUGCUCUUAUGAAAUUCACUUAUGUGGUGACCUGCCAGGUGUAUGGUUCUCAGAAGAAGAAGGGUGAUCGGCGUGCUGAGGAGAUCCUAAAUUUGAUGAAGCAUAAUGAGGCCCUCCGAAUUGCUUAUGUAGAUGAGGUUUACCUGGGAAGGAAUGAAGUAGAGUACUAUUCUGUUCUAGUGAAGUAUGAUCAACAACUGAAGAAAGAAGUGGAAAUUUAUCGCAUAAAGUUGCCUGGUCCUCUGAAACUUGGGGAGGGUAAGCCGGAGAAUCAGAACCAUGCCAUUAUCUUCACCAGAGGUGAAGCAGUUCAGACCAUAGACAUGAAUCAAGACAAUUACUUUGAAGAGGCACUUAAGAUGCGGAAUCUAUUGGAGGAAUUCAAGGAGAAUUAUGGUAUAAGGAAGCCCACCAUUCUGGGAGUUCGUGAAAAUAUCUUUACUGGUUCUGUGUCAUCUCUUGCUUGGUUCAUGUCUGCCCAGGAGACAAGUUUUGUGACUCUGGGGCAACGCGUUCUUGCUGAUCCUCUCAAGGUACGGAUGCACUAUGGUCAUCCAGAUGUCUUUGAUAGGUUCUGGUUCUUGUCCAGGGGUGGCAUCAGCAAGGCUUCCAAGGUGAUUAAUAUAAGUGAGGAUAUAUUUGCUGGAUUCAAUUGUACCUUGCGAGGUGGCAAUGUUACCCACCAUGAAUACAUACAAGUGGGUAAGGGAAGGGAUGUUGGAUUGAAUCAGAUCGCCAUGUUUGAGGCUAAGGUUGCUAGUGGCAAUGGUGAACAGGUUUUGAGCAGAGAUGUAUACAGGUUGGGUCAUAGACUAGAUUUCUUUCGCAUGCUUUCAUUCUUCUACACGACUGUUGGCUUCUUCUUCAACAACAUGAUAGUGGUAGUAAUGGUCUUUACAUUUUUGUGGGGGCGCCUUUAUCUUGCACUCAGUGGUGUUGAGGAGUAUGCCAGCAGAAAUGCCAGCAGCAACAAAGCACUUGGUUCAAUUUUGAAUCAGCAGUUUGUUAUCCAGCUUGGUUUGUUCACUGCCCUCCCUAUGAUUGUGGAGAACUCUUUGGAGCAUGGUUUCCUUCCGGCAGUCUGGGAUUUUGUAACUAUGCAACUGCAGCUUGCCUCACUAUUUUUCACGUACUCGAUGGGAACCCGUGCACAUUUCUUUGGUAGGACCAUUCUGCAUGGCGGAGCAAAGUACCGAGCAACUGGACGCGGUUUUGUUGUGGAGCGCAAGAGCUUUGGUGAGAACUAUCGACUAUAUUCUCGCAGCCACUUUGUCAAAGCAAUUGAACUUGGAGUUAUCCUGGUUGUGUAUGCUUCACAUAGCCCCGUGACUAAAGAUACCUUUGUGUAUAUAGCUAUGACUAUAUCAAGUUGGUUCCUUGUAGUGUCAUGGAUAACAUCUCCCUUUGUGUUCAAUCCCUCUGGGUUUGACUGGUUAAAAACUGUGUAUGACUUUGAUGAUUUCAUGCAUUGGAUUUGGUACAAUCGAGGAGUUUUUGUAAAAGCAGAUCAUAGUUGGGAGACAUGGUGGUAUGAAGAACAGGACCACUUGAGAACUACUGGCCUAUGGGGAAAAUUGCUUGAGAUUAUUUUAGAUCUUCGUUUCUUCUUCUUUCAAUAUGGAAUUGUGUAUCAACUACGCAUUGCUGGUGGUAAAACCAGUAUUGGUGUUUACUUGCUGUCUUGGAUUAUUAUGGUUGCUGUUGUGGCAAUUUACAUUGCCAUUGCUUAUGCAAAGGACAAAUAUGCUAUGAAUAAGCACAUAUAUUAUCGAAUGAUGCAGUUGCUUGUCAUUCUGCUCACGGUAUUGGUGAUUGCUAUGUUGUUGAGGUUCACCUCGUUUACGUGGUUUGAUUUGAUCACAAGUUUGUUGGCAUUUAUUCCAACUGGAUGGGGCUUAAUCCAAAUUGCCGUAGUGCUCCGGCCCUUUUUGCAGUCUACUUUGGUUUGGAGCACUGUUGUGUCCUUGGCUCGGCUAUAUGACAUGAUGCUUGGGCUAAUUGUUAUGGCUCCUCUGGCAUUGUUAUCAUGGAUGCCUGGUUUUCAAUCCAUGCAGACAAGGAUAUUAUUUAAUGAAGCUUUCAGCAGGGGCCUUCAGAUAUCUCGUAUCCUCACGGGAAAAACUUCAUAAUGUGAGAGAUUUAAUGGUUCUGGAAAGUGCUGUGUAGAAACAGAUCAAUUGAGAAUAUAUUUGCAACCUUUAUAUCUGCUGGCUGAAAUGCUUUUCUAGUGUAACUGACUAAGAUGAAUGCUAACGAGGUUAGCAAGUCUUAGCAUGCAAGAGUGCAACAUGUAGAUAAAGAACAAGUUAAUUAACUUCAGAGGCACGCGCUUCUCUUUUCUAGGUAGAUUCUAUAGGAUGUGUUUCCUGAUAAGCUCCUUCAUUUUUCGUGGGCUCUUGGAUGGGUAAUUUGAUUUUGUGCAAUCUACUCAGCCUGGGUACCCUAUCAUCCUUCAGUCUACCAAGUCAACGAGGUUUGUGCCAGUUAAACUAAAGCGGACGUGGAGCAGUUGGGGCGUUUCUUCUUAAUUUUAGUCUUAGUAUGGAUAGGUUCAGGAAUCAUCGCUAGAUGGUACCAUGUUUCCAAUUUUGUAGUUCUGUACAUAUGGCCGCGUGUAAAUGACAUAUUAGCUUCUGAUAAUAACACAAUAAUGCUUAUUUUUGAUGGGCUAAUGGACUACAGUGGACCGUUCACCAACUAUGGUUUGGCUACUGAGCUUGCAAAUGGAAAUUGCUCUCUUCUAACUCCUA